This 383-nucleotide long non-coding RNA is filed under the name Apteryx rowi (Okarito brown kiwi). Its description in RNAcentral is "lncRNA (ENSARWG00000015366.1)". The record is from RNAcentral. Lineage: Eukaryota; Metazoa; Chordata; Aves; Apterygiformes; Apterygidae.
CAUCCCUUCAUUCCUCACCGCUUGUGCUCAUCCAGUCCUAUGAGAGAUGACUCCCACCCACACUGCCCUGAGCAGUGGAUAGCCUACACAGGGAGCUGCUACACCUUCUCCAAAGAGAGGAUGGAUUAGAGUUCCAGCCAAGAAUCCUGCUGGGCACAGGGUGCUCAUCUCCUGGUGAUCAGUGAUACCAGGGAAAUGGUAAUGGUUUACAGUCUUAUUAUUUGAGGACCUUCCAUUUCCUUGCAAAUAGCAAGGCAUCUGGGCAGUGCUGUCACUCUGGCAAUAUUGUGACAUUAAAACGGAGGAAGGAUUUAUGACUGUGACAUUAUAGUGCACUUCCAGUCUCAGUGUACAUCUAAGAAGUCCAGGAGGCAAAGAAGUAG